Molecule: long non-coding RNA, 641 nt
Filed under: Panax ginseng (ginseng)
Lineage: Eukaryota; Viridiplantae; Streptophyta; Magnoliopsida; Apiales; Araliaceae
Description: long non-coding RNA (PGIN_LNC014158)
Source: RNAcentral
AAUAAAUUGAUUCAUAUAAUUAAUCAAGGCAAGGAGUUCCUAUUUCUUUUUCAAUAAUCAAAGUUGGGCAAAAAUAUUUUAUUUCAUACAUACAUCAUAAAACUUCUUAUUAUAAUCUAAGUAUUUUAUACAUAUAUAUAUAUAUAUAUAUAUAUAUAUAUAUAUAUAUAUAUAACAUAUGUGUGUGUAAAGUGUGUAAAGUGUAAGCAUACAUGUGCUGGCAAUUAAAACUGUGUGUGAGACAUUCUUUUGGGGACUUAAAACCGCGUGAGGCACGUGCUAGCAUUGUCAAAUUUAGCAUUAAAUGAUAAGUUGAUAAAAUUUCGACUGGGUGGAAUUACAAGCUCCCACGCGUAAAAAAUCUGGACCGUUCAACUCAAAAAGUAAUCAUCUGAACCGUGCAUUCAAAAUUAGAUUUCUAAAAUUACAUUUUUGCCCCCGACUUCAAAAAUCUAUAAAUAGGGAGUAUUUCAUUCAUUUGGUUUUUACCAAUUCAGUGAAAAGCAAAGUAUACUCUCCUUGUCUACAUUCUCUCUAAAAAGCUUUAUAUCUCUUCUUACUAAAGUUCUGAAUUUUUGAAGAGAAAAUUGGUCCAAGUUUUGAGAUAAAUCAUUUGAGUUCAACUUCUGUUGAGUUAUUUC